Molecule: ribosomal RNA, 274 nt
Filed under: uncultured Bacteroidota bacterium
Lineage: Bacteria; Pseudomonadati; Bacteroidota
Description: uncultured Bacteroidetes bacterium partial 16S ribosomal RNA
Rfam family: Bacterial small subunit ribosomal RNA
Source: RNAcentral
AUGGACCCAGCUUUGCUGGGUUUGAUGGCGACCGGCGCACGGGUGAGUAACGCGUAUCCAACCUGCCCAUCACUUGGGAAUAACCUUGCGAAAGUAAGACUAAUGCCCAAUGACAUUUAUAGAAGGCAUCUGAAUGGGAUUAAAGAUUUAUCGGUGAUGGAUGGGGAUGCGUCUGAUUAGCUUGUUGGCGGGGUAACGGCCCACCAAGGCUACGAUCGGUAGGGGUUCUGAGAGGAAGGUCCCCACAAUGGAACUGAGACACGGUCCAUACUCC